CUGUGCCCUACCUCAGUUGUCUUUGUGUUAUCUUAAUCCAAUGUGUACAAAAUGUUAAAUAUGUUAUUAUCUUAGUAAAUGUAUAUUUUUUUCUAGGACUACCUUCAAAAAAGUGCCACAAGGUCUAGAUUUAACUACGCCUAUGGCACAUAAGAAUAAGUUUGCAGAGUCAACUAAUGGGUUUAAUUCAACCUAUUGUCAGGGAUUAGAAAGUGAAGAAAAAGAGUAUACUGUUACUACGGAACCGGAAGAAAUUAUAUCCGAUAAACACGUCGGAAGGAAGAUUGUGGCCAUAUCUCAAUUCAAAAAUUACUCAACUUUUGUAAACAUGGCCAUCUAGCGUAUUCAUCGAAUGAUAUAAUACUAACAGGAGAAAAUCAAAAUAGUAGUAAUAGUAUAUAGUAUAGAAUAGUAGUAGUAUUAUUUACUUUUCAGUGUAAAAUGUAUAUAACGUAACUCUUACAAUCGAAAAUGAUAUCUGUGAAGACAAUUAUUUAAAUUUGAAUGCAUGUGCAGUAGCUGGUACCAUCGCAAUAGGAUGUGGCCGGUCACAACUUGAAGAAGUGUUGUCAGCUAUAAAUUUGCCUAGUUUCACUGAAAAUACAUACGACCACAAUCACAAGGUUAUUGGCAAACAUCGUCAUCUCAUUGAGGUGAAAUGUCCCAUUACAGCGCAUAGAAUCGGCAUAGACGAAGCUAUUAGGAAGAAAAAAAUAACCGUCUGGAAAAUAAAUAAGAAUGGUCAAUACCAUAUUAACAAAAAUUGGUAUUACCAAAUUCAAGGUCAAUUACAUGUAACACAAAGCAAAAAAUGUAUAUAUGCGGUAUGGGGCAGUGAAAAUGAAUCGCUUAGAAUCGAAAUUAUUAA
This is a long non-coding RNA of Melitaea cinxia (Glanville fritillary), 868 nucleotides long. RefSeq lists it as uncharacterized. NCBI's taxonomy places the organism in Eukaryota, Metazoa, Arthropoda, Insecta, Lepidoptera, Nymphalidae. The transcript is spliced from 2 exons. The record is from RefSeq and is a predicted model, not a curated record.